AGUAAAUUGGUUAAGUUAGAAAGGGCGCACAGUGGAUGCCUUGGCACUAGGAGCCGAAGAAGGACGGGACUAACACCGAUAUGCUUUGGGGAGCUGUACGUAAGCGUUGAUCCAGAGAUUUCCGAAUGGGGGAACCCACUAUCUUUAGUCGGAUAGUAUCCUUACGUGAAUACAUAGCGUGAGGAAGGCAGACCCAGGGAACUGAAACAUCUAAGUACCUGGAGGAAGAGAAAGAAAAAUCGAUUUCCUGAGUAGCGGCGAGCGAAACGGAAAGAGCCCAAACCAAGAAGCUUGCUUCUU
This 300-nucleotide ribosomal RNA is filed under the name Listeria monocytogenes. Its description in RNAcentral is "partial 23S ribosomal RNA". It matches the Rfam family "Bacterial large subunit ribosomal RNA", at positions 1 to 293 of the family's 2925-position model. The record is from RNAcentral. Lineage: Bacteria; Bacillati; Bacillota; Bacilli; Caryophanales; Listeriaceae.